GACGAACGCUGGCGGCGUGCUUAACACAUGCAAGUCGAACGGAAAGGCCCUGCUUUUGUGGUGUGCUCGAGUGGCGAACGGGUGAGUAACACGUGAGUAACCUGCCCUUGACUUUGGGAUAACUUCAGGAAACUGGGGCUAAUACCGGAUAGGAGCUCCUGCUGCAUGGUGGGGGGUGGAAAGUUUCGGCGGUUGGGGAUGGACUCGCGGCUUAUCAGCUUGUUGGUGGGGUAGUGGCUUACCAAGGCUUUGACGGGUAGCCGGCCUGAGGGGGUGACCGGCAACAUUGGGACUGAGAUACGGCCCAGACUCCUACGGGAGGAAGCAGUGGGGAAUAUUGAACAAUGGGCGGAAGCCUGAUGAAGCAACGCCGCGUGCGGGAUGACGGCCUUCGGGUUGUAAACCGCUUUCGCCUGUGACGAAGCGUGAGUGACGGUAAUGGGUAAAGAAGCACCGGCUAACUACGUG
This 468-nucleotide ribosomal RNA is filed under the name uncultured bacterium. RNAcentral describes it as "partial 16S ribosomal RNA". It matches the Rfam family "Bacterial small subunit ribosomal RNA", at positions 28 to 507 of the family's 1533-position model. The record is from RNAcentral.